AGAGUUUGAUCAUGGCUCAGGAUGAACGCUAGCUACAGGCUUAACACAUGCAAGUCGAGGGGCAGCAUGGUCUUAGCUUGCUAAGGCCGAUGGCGACCGGCGCACGGGUGAGUAACGCGUAUCCAACCUGCCUUACACUCUUGGACAGCCUUCUGAAAGGGAGAUUAAUACAAGAUGUUAUCAUGAGUAAGCAUUUUCGCAUGAUUAAAGGUUUACCGGUGUAAGAUGGGGAUGCGUUCAUUAGAUAGUAGGCGGGGUAACGCCCACUAGUCUUCGAUGGAUAGGGGUUCUGAGAGGAAGGUCCCCCANAUUGGAACUGAGACACGGUCCAAACUCUACGGGAGCA
RNAcentral lists this ribosomal RNA (346 nucleotides) under uncultured bacterium. RNAcentral describes it as "bacterial SSU rRNA". It matches the Rfam family "Bacterial small subunit ribosomal RNA", at positions 8 to 349 of the family's 1533-position model. The record is from RNAcentral.